UACGAAGGGGGCUAGCGUUGUUCGGAAUUACUGGGCGUAAAGGGCGCGCAGGCGGCCCUCCAAGUCAGGCGUGAAAGCCCCGGGCUCAACCCGGGAAUAGCGCUUGAGACUGGGGGGCUUGAGUUCGGGGAGAGGAGAGUGGAAUUCCCAGUGUAGAGGUGAAAUUCGUAGAUAUUGGGAAGAACACCGGUGGGCGAAGGCGGCUCUCUGGACCGACACUGACGCUGAGG
RNAcentral lists this ribosomal RNA (230 nucleotides) under uncultured bacterium. Its description in RNAcentral is "partial 16S ribosomal RNA". It matches the Rfam family "Bacterial small subunit ribosomal RNA", at positions 524 to 751 of the family's 1533-position model. The record is from RNAcentral.